AUUAAUUUAAUGGCUGCAGUAUUUUAACUGUACAAAGGUAGCAUAAUAAUUAGUUCCUUAAUUAGGGACUGGAAUGAAGGAUUGAACGAGAUAAAAAUUGUCUCUUUUUAAAUUUUAUAAUUUUAUUUUUAAGUUAAAAAGCUUAAAUAAUAUUAAAAGACGAGAAGACCCUAUAGAGUUUUAUAAUUAUAAUAUAUAUAAAUUUUAGAAAUAAAAUUUUUUAUAUAUAAUAAUUAUUUGAUUGGGGUGAUUUUAAAAUUUAGAAAACUUUUAUAUAUUUAACAUUUAUAUAUGAUUAAUUGAUCCAUAAUUUAUGAUUAAAAGAUUAAAUUACCUUAGGGAUAACAGCGUAAUUUUUUUAAAGAGUUCUAAUCGAAAAAAAAGAUUGCGACCUCGAUGUUGGAUUAAAAUAAAUUUUUGGUGUAGAAGCUAAAAUAUUAGGUCUGUUCGACCUUUAAAAUUUU
This 464-nucleotide ribosomal RNA is filed under the name Ptomaphagus hazelae. RNAcentral's name for it is "partial 16S ribosomal RNA". The stretch from base 341 to 464 matches the Rfam family "Bacterial large subunit ribosomal RNA", at positions 2473 to 2597 of the family's 2925-position model. The record is from RNAcentral. Lineage: Eukaryota; Metazoa; Arthropoda; Insecta; Coleoptera; Leiodidae.